Long non-coding RNA from Homo sapiens (human), 358 nucleotides. RefSeq lists it as uncharacterized. NCBI's taxonomy places the organism in Eukaryota, Metazoa, Chordata, Mammalia, Primates, Hominidae. The record is from RefSeq and is a predicted model, not a curated record. The transcript has 3 exons.
AAGGAUCCUUGGGGGAAGAAAGGGAUCCCCACUCACAUCCCCUUGUAAACACUCCAGUAACCAGAGCUUCUGAUGGGAAACUGAGGCCCAGAAAAGGAAAAGUACUGUGCAAGACCACACAGCCAGUGGAUGGUAGAGGGGUGCUUCAAACCAGCGGUGUUUGCCUCCGAGAUCUGCGUGAUUCCCCAAACUCCAGUCAGGUCUCCCUGGUCCCCGCUGCUCCCUGCAGAGGUCUCAUCAAACGCCUGGUCUGCCUGCACCAUGCAGCCUGGAAGCCCCUGACCCAUCGCCAGCUCCUACCGUCACCCGUGAGGUCCAAUAUGGUGUCGUCCUCCCCUCGAUCGUCAGAAACCAUCGC